Molecule: ribosomal RNA, 253 nt
Filed under: uncultured bacterium
Lineage: Bacteria
Description: partial 16S ribosomal RNA
Rfam family: Bacterial small subunit ribosomal RNA
Source: RNAcentral
UACCGAGGUGGCAAGCGUUGUUCGGAAUUACUGGGCGUAAAGGGCGCGUAGGCGGCCAUCUAAGUCAGACGUGAAAUCCCCCGGCUUAACCUGGGAACUGCGUCUGAUACUGGAAGGCUUGAGUAUGGGAGAGGGAUGUAGAAUUCCAGGUGUAGCGGUGAAAUGCGUAGAUAUCUGGAGGAAUACCGGUGGCGAAGGCGGCAUCCUGGACCAUUACUGACGCUGAGGCGCGAAAGCUAGGGGAGCAAACGGG